Molecule: ribosomal RNA, 557 nt
Filed under: uncultured Novosphingobium sp.
Lineage: Bacteria; Pseudomonadati; Pseudomonadota; Alphaproteobacteria; Sphingomonadales; Sphingomonadaceae
Description: bacterial SSU rRNA
Rfam family: Bacterial small subunit ribosomal RNA
Source: RNAcentral
ACGGGUGCGUAACGCGUGGGAAUCUGCCCUUGGGUUCGGAAUAACAGUUAGAAAUGACUGCUAAUACCGGAUGAUGUCUUCGGACCAAAGAUUUAUCGCCCAAGGAUGAGCCCGCGUAAGAUUAGCUAGUUGGUGGGGUAAUGGCCCACCAAGGCGACGAUCUUUAGCUGGUCUGAGAGGAUGAUCAGCCACACUGGGACUGAGACACGGCCUAGACUCCUACGGGAGGCAGCAGUGGGGAAUAUUGGACAAUGGGCGAAAGCCUGAUCCAGCAAUGCCGCGUGAGUGAUGAAGGCCUUAGGGUUGUAAAGCUCUUUUACCAGGGAUGAUAAUGACAGUACCUGGAGAAUAAGCUCCGGCUAACUCCGUGCCAGCAGCCGCGGUAAUACGGAGGGAGCUAGCGUUGUUCGGAAUUACUGGGCGUAAAGCGUACGUAGGCGGUUAUUCAAGUCAGAGGUGAAAGCCCGGGGCUCAACCCCGGAACGGCCUUUGAAACUAGAUAGCUAGAGUCUUGGAGAGGUUAGUGGAAUUCCGAGUGUAGAGGUGAAAUUCGUAGA